AACGAACGCUGGCGGCAUGCCUAACACAUGCAAGUCGAACGAGACCUUCGGGUCUAGUGGCGCACGGGUGCGUAACGCGUGGGAACCUGCCCUUAGGUUCGGAAUAACUCCCCGAAAGGGGUGCUAAUACCGGAUAAUGUCUUCGGACCAAAGAUUAUCGCCUUUGGAUGGGCCCGCGUUGGAUUAGCUAGUUGGUAGGGUAAAAGCCUACCAAGGCGACGAUCCAUAGCUGGUCUGAGAGGAUGAUCAGCCACACUGGGACUGAGACACGGCCCAGACUCCUACGGGAGGCAGCAGUGGGGAAUAUUGGACAAUGGGCGAAAGCCUGAUCCAGCAAUGCCGCGUGAGUGAUGAAGGCCUUAGGGUUGUAAAGCUCUUUUACCCGGGAUGAUAAUGACAGUACCGGGAGAAUAAGCUCCGGUUAACUCCGUG
Molecule: ribosomal RNA, 432 nt
Filed under: uncultured bacterium
Lineage: Bacteria
Description: partial 16S ribosomal RNA
Rfam family: Bacterial small subunit ribosomal RNA
Source: RNAcentral